AUCUGAUCGACGAAUCUCAAAUAGGACGAAACUCGCGUCCUAGAU
Molecule: non-coding RNA, 45 nt
Filed under: Schistosoma margrebowiei
Lineage: Eukaryota; Metazoa; Platyhelminthes; Trematoda; Strigeidida; Schistosomatidae
Source: RNAcentral